This 402-nucleotide ribosomal RNA is filed under the name uncultured bacterium. RNAcentral describes it as "bacterial SSU rRNA". It matches the Rfam family "Bacterial small subunit ribosomal RNA", at positions 355 to 774 of the family's 1533-position model. The record is from RNAcentral.
UGGGGAAUCUUGCACAAUGGGGGCAACCCUGAUGCAGCGACGCCGCGUGAGCGAUGAAGCCCUUCGGGGCGUAAAGCUCUUUCGACCGGAACGAUAAUGACGGUACCGGGAGAAGAAGCUGCGGCUAACUACGUGCCAGCAGCCGCGGUAAUACGUAGGCAGCAAGCGUUGUUCGGAGUUACUGGGCGUAAAGAGUGCGUAGGCGGUUUUCUAAGUUCGGUGUGAAAUCUCCCGGCUUAACUGGGAGGGUGCGCCGAAGACUGGGAAGCUGGAGUGUGGGAAAGGCAGGCGGAAUUCCUGGUGUAGCGGUGAAAUGCGUAGAUAUCAGGAGGAGCACCGGCGGUGUAGACGGCUUGCUAGACCAUAACUGACGCUGAGGCACGAAAGCGUGGGUAGCAAACA